RNAcentral lists this long non-coding RNA (1784 nucleotides) under Spirodela polyrhiza (greater duckweed). RNAcentral's name for it is "long non-coding RNA (SPOL_LNC001035)". Lineage: Eukaryota; Viridiplantae; Streptophyta; Magnoliopsida; Alismatales; Araceae. The record is from RNAcentral.
UCGAGGGCGUGGCUCUGAUGCAGUAUCUCGCCGUAAAUACGGGUCCCCCUUGGAUUGGUGACGGUGGAGAGCUUCCUGUCCAGCGCCACCACCGCCCCGCGAACCGCCUGCUCGUCCUUCUCCCAGGCCCUGAGCUUCCGCGCUUGGCCUUUGCCCGCCUCUGCCGGCGGCCGCGCGGCCUGCCGCCGCUGUUCCCAGAGCUGAAGCACGCUCCCGGCGAAGGCCUGCAUCGCCUCCACCACCUCCUGUUCGGAUGUGUUCUGCAUGGCCUGCGACCACUGGUUGCAGACGACGAACACGGGGGGAGCUCCUAGCCUUCCCGGGGAGAAGGGGGCGACGCCGUCGGCGGUCACCUCCGGUUCCUCGCGGAUGAUCCUCAAGAGCCAGUUGUUCAGCGCCGCCGCGAACUUUUUCUGGGUGUUGAACCAGAAGCAGAACCGGUCGAUCCAAAAGAGGAGCGAGAGCUCCAGCUCCCUCGCCACGUCGGGGUUCCCGCCGCCGGCGCCGGCGGCGGCGUUCAAGCUUCUGGACUCGGAGACGGCCUCCUGCUGGCUCUUGUGGCACUCCCUCAACGCCCUCCACAUCCCCACGAAUCUGCAGCCGGCGGAGGAAGGCUCAGGGUUUCCGUCUUCCAUGACAGGAGUCAACGCUCAAAAAUACGAACGGCGGAGGUCGGGAAGUGUACCCUAGGAUCAGCCCGUUGAGCUGCGGCCACAGUUCCUCGUCCCUCAGCGCGCUGACCUUCCUCGAGAUGGAGUCAACGACUUGAAUUGCCACCCCGAUCCUCGUCGCCAGCUUCUUCACCUUCGCCUGGGCUGCGUUGAUCUUGUCGUCCUCCGCGCCCUUGUCGUCCAAGCGUUUCAGCAGCCUGAGCUUCCGUUCAUGGAGCAACCUCAUCUCCUCCUCCGCCUGCAUGCACCAGGCGAAACCAGCAUGAGCCAACCGCAGGAGCGAGCCUGCUGCAGGAGAUUGAGGAAGAAGACGGAGAGAGCCUCCUCAGCGUACCAAGACUUCCGCGUAAAGCUUCCUUUCCCAGAUGUAGAGCUUCUGCAGCGUCGAGGAGAGGCCCACCGACUCCAUCGCCACCUCUUCGUCGUCCUCCCGUUCUCCGUUUGCAGCAGAGCUCCCCGAGGUCAGGGGCAUGGCGGGGACGAUGGCGCUCAUCACUCUCGAAGAUACCCCUCCAUACUUCUUCCGGUGGUACGGCCGCUUGCCCACCUCCAGCACCCCUGAGAGCCCAUCGCAGGACUCGGAAGCUCUGAGAAACAGGGCCUGGAUCUCCCGCACCACCUCGGAGGCGCCUCGAGACUGCGGGACCAGCUUCUUGCCGGCGACCUCCGUUUGCAGUCCCUUCUGAGCUUCGUCCGCCGGCGGUAGCACGACCUCUCUGUCGCCGCCGCUGGGCCCGGCCUGGUUGUGAGCUUUCUCCUCGGCGGCGCUCUCAGCCUUGCCGGAAGCUGAGAUCUCCACCUGAGUGGAGGAGGAAGCGGCGGCGAUGUGUUUCUGAUCGCCGUAAGCUUCCUUGAUGACCUCUGUUUCCUCGUCCUCCAGAUCAGGAAUCCCCUCCUCCUCCCUCACAUCCUUGGAGCUCCUGCUGGGCGUGUAGGCGGAGUAGUAAUUGUCGUAGGACUCGAACGGGUUCAGAAAGUCCCAGCCCGACACCGUCGGCGGUGAGGGAGGCGGCGGCGGCUGAGCUGAAGAGGACGCGGCGGCGGAGGAAGGACCCGCAGCCGCCGGCGGCGGCGAGGAGGCACCGAAGAAGCUGCUGCCCAUCCCCCCAUAAG